RNAcentral lists this long non-coding RNA (1571 nucleotides) under Homo sapiens (human). RNAcentral's name for it is "HSALNT0064694". Lineage: Eukaryota; Metazoa; Chordata; Mammalia; Primates; Hominidae. The record is from RNAcentral.
UUCUUUCUAUGAUAGUUAAUUUUAUGUGUCAACUUGACUGGGCCACAGGAUGCUGAGAUACCUGGUUCAACAUUAUUUAUGGGUGUUGAAAAGCUAAUUCACAGCUCCCCAGCUGCCUACUUGUGGGGACAGCUUUCUUCGGCUGCAGGCAGUAAUUGCUUUACUGCUAUCCUAAAUUGCCCUGGAGAAGAAAGCAAAGCUUUGCUUGCUUUAUCCUGUGGAUUUAAAGCAGUGCCUAUACUUGCUCUGCAUAGAAGAGAACUUCUCCUACAGAUAUUUUUAUUCUAAUCCACGCAACACAUUCCAGUUGAAACAAGAUUUUGAAGACACGCCCUAGUGUACAUUUUAUCUGCACUGGCCUCAUGAGGAAAAUCAAAUAAGAUUAUCUUACAUUACAAAAUUUUCUUGCAUACUUUAUGCAACAGUGGAAACAACACAGGAUUGGAAUUAGAAGACCUGGUUUUAAAUACCAAAUUGUUCCCCAGAAUGAUCUGAUCCUACUGCUUAGCCUAUCUGGAUGUCAGUUUCUACAUCUCUAAAAGGAAGACACACAGAGGAGAAUGCUAUCUGAAGAUGGAGGCAGAGAUUGAAGUGAUGCAUCUACAGGGAUUGCUGGCCGCCACCACAAGCUAGAAGAAGCAAGGGAGGAUUAUUCCCUAGAGCCUUUGGAUGGAGCAAGUAGAAUCCAAGAAGACUCUAAAACCUCCAGUACUCAUGAAGAGAUGAGUUUGCUCAUUAUCAAUCUCAUUGAUCCUUAGCAUCGGAGCUGAGAGGGAGCCAGGAUGUUCAUCACACUGUGUAAAUGGCCUCUGUGAAGAACUUCCUGGGGUAUGGUCCAGCUUCCUGGAAUGGAAAAUUCUUCAAAUCAAAGGCAGAGGGUAAGGAAGAAAAUGAGAACUGAAACUGCUCCAAUCCCAGCUAGGAGAGAGGAAGAACUGUAAAGAAACCCCCCAAAUUACAUUGUAGAAUUAUUUUUCCCUAUGGUAUUAGGUUGAUCCCCCUUUCCUGGCCACCAGCAGCCCCUUUCCACACUUCUAGGAGCACCAGGAUCAAUUACCAUUCAUUGUUAUUUCAUGUGCAUAGACAACAGAACUUGCUGCUGUCAUAAAAGUAAAGGAACAGAUUUCUUAAAUUGCUACUUGAAGGAGCUCUUCUAUAUCAGUGCCAUUAAAUUAAAUUUCUGCUCUGUAUAAUGCAUAAAAAUGGCUUGUGAAUUUUUUUUCCUUGGGUGACUCAUUUUGUUUGAACUCCAAAGCAAUUCCUCAGAAACGGAAAGAGGCUAUUUAAAAAUGAGCUGUGAGAUUGUCAUUAAAAAUCAUUUUUUUUAAAGCAAAGGAGGUCUCUCCUAGCACCAAAUGAUAAAAUACAAAUUUGAGAAUCCUGAACUCAGUUCUCAAAGGUAUCACCUUUGAAAAGGAAGUUUAAAAAAUAUUAAGUAACCUUUUAAAAAGUAAUUUUAAGGAAGUGAAGAAAUAAGAAUAAAAUCUUAAUUUUUAAGUGAAAAACUUUACUUUUUCUUAAGAGAAGAGUUUCUUGGUACCUCUUUCUGUCUUUUGUUUUUGUUUUUGUUU